UACGUAGGUGGCAAGCGUUGUCCGGAUUUACUGGGCGUAAAGAGCGCGCAGGCGGCCGAAUAAGUCGAAUGUGAAAGCCCCCGGCUCAACUGGGGAAGGUCAUUCGAUACUGUUCGGCUCGAAGAUAGGAGAGGGAAGCGGAAUUUCAGGUGUAGUGGUGAAAUGCGUAGAUAUCUGAAGGAACACCAGUGGCGAAGGCGGCUUUCUGGCCUAUUCUUGACGCUGAGGCGCGAAAGCUAGGGGAGCGAACGGG
Molecule: ribosomal RNA, 253 nt
Filed under: uncultured bacterium
Lineage: Bacteria
Description: partial 16S ribosomal RNA
Rfam family: Bacterial small subunit ribosomal RNA
Source: RNAcentral